CAACGUUUCACACGGACAUUUAUUGCAGACGAACGCAGUGUCUGCUGUCUCAUAAACGUUGCCAAAAAUGACAAGAGAACGUCUAGUUUGCUGUACCCUCAAAGGCAUAUUGCUUGCUGUGAUAUCCGCCAAACAAGAGUUGAACUGUCCUGUGUUUGUUUACAAAGAGGAGUUGAGGCUAGAGUGCAAAUCGAGUCUUUUGGAAAGGUGUGAAGAGUGAAUCCAUCCUCCCGAGUGUUCGAGCAAAAUACAACGAGCUGGCAUUUUGGCUAACACGCGGAAAAAACAAGCUAAUUUCUCGCCGGUACAACAGGUAUAAACACUCUACCCCGCCACUGUAGGCGUCUGCAAAAAAUGUCAAAUCCUGGUUUUUGUUGUACACAAAAGCCUCGAGGCACUUUUCAUGGCAGUCUUCGAAGGUGAAAUAUAGUGGUAUUAUUUUGGAUUAUUUUUUUAUUGUAUUAUUUUUAAUUUGCAUCUUAUAUCGCAAGAGCGGCACUCUGCUUAUUGGAUUGUGUUGAUGACGCUCAAAUGAUGUAUUGUACACCUAGAGUCAAACAUGUUUAA
This is a long non-coding RNA of Syngnathoides biaculeatus (alligator pipefish), 567 nucleotides long. RefSeq lists it as uncharacterized. The record is from RefSeq and is a predicted model, not a curated record. The transcript has 3 exons. NCBI's taxonomy places the organism in Eukaryota, Metazoa, Chordata, Actinopteri, Syngnathiformes, Syngnathidae.